RNAcentral lists this ribosomal RNA (1674 nucleotides) under Salmonella enterica subsp. enterica serovar Typhimurium. It matches the Rfam family "Bacterial large subunit ribosomal RNA", at positions 1272 to 2925 of the family's 2925-position model. Lineage: Bacteria; Pseudomonadati; Pseudomonadota; Gammaproteobacteria; Enterobacterales; Enterobacteriaceae. The record is from RNAcentral.
GCUGGAGGUAUCAGAAGUGCGAAUGCUGACAUAAGUAACGAUAAAGCGGGUGAAAAGCCCGCUCGCCGGAAGACCAAGGGUUCCUGUCCAACGUUAAUCGGGGCAGGGUGAGUCGACCCCUAAGGCGAGGCCGAAAGGCGUAGUCGAUGGGAAACGGGUUAAUAUUCCCGUACUUGGUGUUACUGCGAAGGGGGGACGGAGAAGGCUAUGUUGGCCGGGCGACGGUUGUCCCGGUUUAAGCGUGUAGGUGUGUGUUCCAGGUAAAUCCGGUUCACUUUAACACUGAGGCGUGACGACGAGGCACUACGGUGCUGAAGCAACAAAUGCCCUGCUUCCAGGAAAAGCCUCUAAGCAUCAGGUAACACGAAAUCGUACCCCAAACCGACACAGGUGGUCAGGUAGAGAAUACCAAGGCGCUUGAGAGAACUCGGGUGAAGGAACUAGGCAAAAUGGUGCCGUAACUUCGGGAGAAGGCACGCUGACACGUAGGUGAAGUGAUUUACUCAUGGAGCUGAAGUCAGUCGAAGAUACCAGCUGGCUGCAACUGUUUAUUAAAAACACAGCACUGUGCAAACACGAAAGUGGACGUAUACGGUGUGACGCCUGCCCGGUGCCGGAAGGUUAAUUGAUGGGGUCAGCGUAAGCGAAGCUCCUGAUCGAAGCCCCGGUAAACGGCGGCCGUAACUAUAACGGUCCUAAGGUAGCGAAAUUCCUUGUCGGGUAAGUUCCGACCUGCACGAAUGGCGUAAUGAUGGCCAGGCUGUCUCCACCCGAGACUCAGUGAAAUUGAACUCGCUGUGAAGAUGCAGUGUACCCGCGGCAAGACGGAAAGACCCCGUGAACCUUUACUAUAGCUUGACACUGAACAUUGAGCCUUGAUGUGUAGGAUAGGUGGGAGGCUUUGAAGUGUGGACGCCAGUCUGCAUGGAGCCGACCUUGAAAUACCACCCUUUAAUGUUUGAUGUUCUAACGUGGACCCGUAAUCCGGGUUGCGGACAGUGUCUGGUGGGUAGUUUGACUGGGGCGGUCUCCUCCUAAAGAGUAACGGAGGAGCACGAAGGUUGGCUAAUCCUGGUCGGACAUCAGGAGGUUAGUGCAAUGGCAUAAGCCAGCUUGACUGCGAGCGUGACGGCGCGAGCAGGUGCGAAAGCAGGUCAUAGUGAUCCGGUGGUUCUGAAUGGAAGGGCCAUCGCUCAACGGAUAAAAGGUACUCCGGGGAUAACAGGCUGAUACCGCCCAAGAGUUCAUAUCGACGGCGGUGUUUGGCACCUCGAUGUCGGCUCAUCACAUCCUGGGGCUGAAGUAGGUCCCAAGGGUAUGGCUGUUCGCCAUUUAAAGUGGUACGCGAGCUGGGUUUAGAACGUCGUGAGACAGUUCGGUCCCUAUCUGCCGUGGGCGCUGGAGAACUGAGGGGGGCUGCUCCUAGUACGAGAGGACCGGAGUGGACGCAUCACUGGUGUUCGGGUUGUCAUGCCAAUGGCACUGCCCGGUAGCUAAAUGCGGAAGAGAUAAGUGCUGAAAGCAUCUAAGCACGAAACUUGCCCCGAGAUGAGUUCUCCCUGAGACUUAGAGUCUCCUGAAGGAACGUUGAAGACGACGACGUUGAUAGGCCGGGUGUGUAAGCGCAGCGAUGCGUUGAGCUAACCGGUACUAAUGAACCGUGAGGCUUAACCU